This 238-nucleotide ribosomal RNA is filed under the name uncultured bacterium. RNAcentral's name for it is "partial 16S ribosomal RNA". It matches the Rfam family "Bacterial small subunit ribosomal RNA", at positions 334 to 564 of the family's 1533-position model. The record is from RNAcentral.
UGGUCCUACGGGAGGCAGCAGUAGGGAAUCUUCCACAAUGGACGAAAGUCUGAUGGAGCAACGCCGCGUGAGUGAAGAAGGGUUUCGGCUCGUAAAGCUCUGUUGGUAGUGAAGAAAGAUAGAGGUAGUAAAUGGCCUUUAUUUGACGGUAAUUACUUAGAAAGUCACGGCUAACUACGUGCCAGCAGCCGCGGUAAUACGUAGGUGGCAAGCGUUGUCCGGAUUUUUUGGGCGGAAA